CCUACGGGUGACAGCAGUGAGGAAUAUUGGUCAAUGGACGAGAGUCUGAACCAGUCAAGUAGCGUGAAGGAUGACUGCCCUAUGGGUUGUAAACUUCUUUUAUAUGGGAAUAAAAUGUUCCACGUGUGGGAUUUUGUAUGUACCAUCUGAAUAAGGAUCGGCUAACUCCGUGCCAGCAGCCGCGGUAAUACGGAGGAUCCGAGCGUUAUCCGGAUUUAUUGGGUUUAAAGGGAGCGUAGGUGGAUUGUUAAGUCAGUUGUGAAAGUUUGCGGCUCAACCGUAAAAUUGCAGUUGAAACUGGCAGUCUUGAGUACAGUAGAGGUGGGCGGAAUUCGUGGUGUAGCGGUGAAAUGCUUAGAUAUCACGAAGAACUCCGAUUGCGAAGGCAGUUCACUGGACUGCAACUGACACUGAGGCUCGAAAGUGUGGGUAUCAAACAGGAUUAGAUACCCCAGUAGUC
This 460-nucleotide ribosomal RNA is filed under the name uncultured bacterium. RNAcentral's name for it is "partial 16S ribosomal RNA". It matches the Rfam family "Bacterial small subunit ribosomal RNA", at positions 338 to 795 of the family's 1533-position model. The record is from RNAcentral.